UACUCGAGUGGCGAACGGGUGAGUAACACGUGGGUGAUCUGCCCUGCACUUCGGGAUAAGCCUGGGAAAUUGGGUCUAAUACCGGAUAGGAACCAUCUUUAGUGUGGUGGUUGGAAAGUUUUUUCGGUGUAGGAUGAGCUCGCGGCCUAUCAGCUUGUUGGUGGGGUAAUGGCCUACCAAGGCGGCGACGGGUAGCCGGCCUGAGAGGGUGUACGGCCACAUUGGGACUGAGAUACGGCCCAG
Molecule: ribosomal RNA, 243 nt
Filed under: uncultured Actinomycetales bacterium
Lineage: Bacteria; Bacillati; Actinomycetota; Actinomycetes; Actinomycetales
Description: partial 16S ribosomal RNA
Rfam family: Bacterial small subunit ribosomal RNA
Source: RNAcentral